GACGAACGCUGGCGGCGUGCUUAACACAUGCAAGUCGAACGGAAAGGCCCUGCUUGCAGGGUCCUCGAGUGGCGAACGGGUGAGUAACACGUGGGUGAUCUGCCCUGCACUUCGGGAUAAGCCUGGGAAACUGGGUCUAAUACCGGAUAGGAGCCAUUUUUAGUGUGAUGGUUGGAAAGUUUUUUCGGUGUAGGAUGAGCUCGCGGCCUAUCAGCUUGUUGGUGGGGUAAUGGCCUACCAAGGCGGCGACGGGUAGCCGGCCUGAGAGGGUGGACGGCCACAUUGGGACUGAGAUACGGCCCAGACUCCUACGGGAGGCAGCAGUGGGGAAUAUUGCACAAGGGGCGCAAGCCUGAUGCAGCGACGCCGCGUGGGGGAUGACGGCCUUCGGGUUGUAAACUCCGUUCGCUAGGGACGAAGCUUUUUGUGACGGUACCUAGAUAAGAAGCACCGGCUAACUACGUG
Molecule: ribosomal RNA, 465 nt
Filed under: uncultured bacterium
Lineage: Bacteria
Description: partial 16S ribosomal RNA
Rfam family: Bacterial small subunit ribosomal RNA
Source: RNAcentral